RNAcentral lists this signal recognition particle RNA (117 nucleotides) under Gorilla gorilla gorilla (western lowland gorilla). RNAcentral describes it as "Metazoan signal recognition particle RNA". It matches the Rfam family "Metazoan signal recognition particle RNA". From Rfam's summary of the family: The signal recognition particle (SRP) is a universally conserved ribonucleoprotein. It is involved in the co-translational targeting of proteins to membranes. Lineage: Eukaryota; Metazoa; Chordata; Mammalia; Primates; Hominidae. The record is from Rfam by way of RNAcentral.
GCUGGGCAUGGUGGCUCAUGCCUGUAAUCCCAGCACUUUGGGAGGCUGAGGUGGGUGGAUCACCUGAGGUCAGGAGUUCAAGACCAGCCUGGCCAACAUGGUGAAACCCCAUCUCUA